Non-coding RNA from Anolis carolinensis (green anole), 66 nucleotides. NCBI's taxonomy places the organism in Eukaryota, Metazoa, Chordata, Lepidosauria, Squamata, Anolidae. The record is from Rfam.
CCUGGGAGGGGCUGACUUGGCCGGUGUGGUACAGAGAAGCCGGCUUGUUUACUUACCCGUCCCACG